Molecule: ribosomal RNA, 409 nt
Filed under: bacterium
Lineage: Bacteria
Description: partial 16S ribosomal RNA
Rfam family: Bacterial small subunit ribosomal RNA
Source: RNAcentral
UGGGGAAUAUUGCACAAUGGGCGAAAGCCUGAUGCAGCGACGCCGCGUGAGGGAUGACGGCCUUCGGGUUGUAAACCUCUUUCAGCAGGGACGAAGCGCAAGUGACGGUACCUGCAGAAGAAGCACCGGCUAACUACGUGCCAGCAGCCGCGGUAAUACGUAGGGUGCAAGCGUUGUCCGGAAUUACUGGGCGUAAAGAGUUCGUAGGCGGUUUGUCGCGUCGUUUGUGAAAAACAGCAGCUCAACUGCUGGCUUGCAGUCGAUAAGGGCAGACUUGAGUACUGCAGGGGAGACUGGAAUUCCUGGUGUAGCGGUGAAAUGCGCAGAUAUCAGGAGGAACACCGGUGGCGAAGGCGGGUCUCUGGGCAGUAACUGACGCUGAGGAACGAAAGCGUGGGUAGCGAACAGG